GUCCACGCCCUAAACGAUGAAUACUAGAUCUUGUGUCCUUCGCGGCACGGGGUCCCAGCGAAAGCGGUAAGUAUUCCACCUGGGGAGUACGCUCGCAAGGGUGAAACUCAAAGGAAUUGACGGGGCCCGCACAAGCGGUGGAGCAUGUGGUUUAAUUCGAUGAUACGCGAGGAACCUUACCUGGCCUAGAAUGCGCGUGACCGGCUCAGAGAUGGGCUUUCCCUUCGGGGCACAAAGCAAGGUGCUGCAUGGCUGUCGU
Molecule: ribosomal RNA, 259 nt
Filed under: uncultured bacterium
Lineage: Bacteria
Description: partial 16S ribosomal RNA
Rfam family: Bacterial small subunit ribosomal RNA
Source: RNAcentral